RNAcentral lists this ribosomal RNA (387 nucleotides) under Acrochaete sp. RNAcentral's name for it is "partial small subunit ribosomal RNA". It matches the Rfam family "Eukaryotic small subunit ribosomal RNA", at positions 582 to 975 of the family's 1831-position model. Lineage: Eukaryota; Viridiplantae; Chlorophyta; Ulvophyceae; Ulvales; Ulvellaceae. The record is from RNAcentral.
AUUCCAGCUCCAAUAGCGUAUAUCUAAGUUGUUGCAGUUAAAAAGCUCGUAGUUGGAUUUCGGGUUGGCUUCAGCGGUCUCGCUUUGCGUUUGUACUGCUGCAGCCUUCCUUCUUGUCGGGGACGGGCCUACGGGCUUAAUUGCUUGGGGCCCGGAGUCGACGAUGUUACUUUGAGUAAAUUAGAGUGUUCAAAGCAAGCCUACGCUCUGAAUAUAAUAGCAUGGGAUAACACGACAGGACUCUGGCCUAUCGUGUUGGUCUGUAGGACCGGAGUAAUGAUUAAGAGGGACAGUCGGGGGCAUUCGUAUUCCAUUGUCAGAGGUGAAAUUCUUGGAUUUAUGGAAGACGAACAUCUGCGAAAGCAUUUGUCAAGGAUGUUUUCAUUA